This 445-nucleotide long non-coding RNA is filed under the name Cyanistes caeruleus (blue tit). Its description in RNAcentral is "lncRNA (ENSCCEG00000010849.1)". Lineage: Eukaryota; Metazoa; Chordata; Aves; Passeriformes; Paridae. The record is from RNAcentral.
AUUUUAUAUAUGUAAAUAUUAAAUAUGUAUAAAGGUAAGUGUGUGCUUAAGUAGUUUGCUGAGCAGAACUGGCUUGUUGAGUUGUGGGACAUAAGGAUCAUCUUGUUUCAGAGCUUCCCAGGUUCAUCAGCAUUUUCUGAGAGUUAGCACAAGGCUGAUAUUUCCAGCUGCCUGCAAGAUUCUGUUGUAUGAGACAUAUCCCGAAGAUGUGGUCAGCGUGCCGUCACGUGCACUGCUCAUCCUAUAGAAUUUAUCACCUCUCUGCUGAAAGUUUUCAGUACAACCAAGGAUUUCAUGUCAUCCUACUGAGAUAUAUGAAGGUAUAUAAAAAAACUAAACGUGCCUUUUCUUUGAAAUGGAUGGAAAAGAUGGCUUCUUUCCUUUUGUGAAUUUGCUGCACUUUAUAACAAAGAACUGGGACGUGAAUAAAUGAAAUCAUCCUUUG